CGAUCUUCGGAUCGGAAACGACCGGCAAAUGGGUGAGUAAUACAUAUGCAACCUGCCCGUAGCUGGAGAAUAGCGUCCGGAAACGGAAAUUAAUACUCCAUAAUAUUCUAGUAUCGCAUGUUAUUAGAAUUAAAGCUUCGGUGGCUACGGAUGGGCAUAUGUCCCAUUAGCUUGUUGGUGAGGUAACUGCUCACCAAGGCUACGAUGGGUAGGGGGUCUGAGAGGAUGAUCCCCCACACUGGUACUGAGACACGGACCAGACUCCUACGGGAGGCAGCAGUGAGGAAUAUUGGUCAAUGGGCGAAAGCCUGAACCAGCCAUGCCGCGUGCAGGAUGACAGUCCUACGGAUUGUAAACUGCUUUUCUGCAAGAAGAAAUGUUCCGACGUGUCGGGAUUUGACGGUAUUGCAGGAAUAAGCAUCGGCUAACUCCGUGCCAGCAGCCGCGGUAAUACGGAGGAUGCAAGCGUUAUCCGGAUUCAUUGGGUUUAAAGGGUGCGUAGGCGGAUUAGAUAGUCAAAGGUGAAAGCCUGCAGCUUAACUGUAGAAGUGCCUUUGAUACUGCUAAUCUUGAGUACAGUUGAGGCGAGUGGAAUGUGUAGUGUAGCGGUGAAAUGCAUAGAUACUACACAGAACGCCAACUGCGAAGGCAGCUCGCUAAGCUGUUACUGACGCUCAGGCACGAAAGCGUGGGGAGCGAACAGGAUUAGAUACCCUGGUAGUCCACGCUGUAAACUAUGAUCACUAGCUGUUGGCGAUAAAUUGUCAGUGGCUCAGCGAAAGCGUUAAGUGAUCCACCUGGGGAGUACGAUCGCAAGGUUGAAACUCAAAGGAAUUGACGGGGGCCCGCACAAGCGGUGGAACAUGUGGUUUAAUUCGAUGAUACGCGAGGAACCUUACCUGGGCUUAAAUGUAGCGCGACGUCUCGAGAAAUCGGGAUUCCCUUCGGGGCGAACUACAAGGUGCUGCAUGGUUGUCGUCAGCUCGUGCCGUGAGGUAUCGGGUUAAGUCCCAUAACGAGCGCAACCCUUAUUGUUAGUUGCCAGCGGAUAAUGCCGGGGACUCUAACAAAACUGCCCCUGUCAACGGGAGGAAGGUGGGGAUGACGUCAAAUCAGCACGGCCCUUACGUCCAGGGCUACACACGUGUUACAAUGGCUGGAACAAAGGGCA
RNAcentral lists this ribosomal RNA (1171 nucleotides) under uncultured organism. Its description in RNAcentral is "bacterial SSU rRNA". It matches the Rfam family "Bacterial small subunit ribosomal RNA", at positions 74 to 1248 of the family's 1533-position model. The record is from RNAcentral.